This 492-nucleotide ribosomal RNA is filed under the name uncultured bacterium. Its description in RNAcentral is "partial 16S ribosomal RNA". It matches the Rfam family "Bacterial small subunit ribosomal RNA", at positions 30 to 507 of the family's 1533-position model. The record is from RNAcentral.
AUUGAACGCUGGCGGCAGGCCUAACACAUGCAAGUCGAACGGCUGAACAGUGCUUGCUCGUGCUUUCGGGUGCCGACUGGUGGGUGAGUCCGAAAUACAUGGCAAUUUGCGUUGGAUAACGUCCGGACGCGGGCGCUCUUACGCUAUUAGUGCUGAGGGCCUACGUGUGAAAGCUUCGGACCUCCCGAUCUCACAUGAGCCUAGGUGCCGAUGGCGGAUUAGCUAGUUGGAGGGGUAAAGGCCCACCAAGGCGACGAUCCGUAGCUGGUCUGAGAGGAUGAUCAGCCACACUGGAACUGAGACACGGUCCAGACUCCUACGGGAGGCAGCAGUGGGGAAUAUUGGACAAUGGGCGAAAGCCUGAUCCAGCCAUGCCGCGUGUGUGAAGAAGGUCUUCGGAUUGUAAAGCACUUUUAGUUGGGAGGAAGGGCAGUAAGUUAAUACCUCGCUGUUUUGACGGUACCAACAGAAUAAGCACCGGCUAACUUCGUG